CGUUUUUAAUAAGUUUAACCCGUCUUUUUCUAUUUGAAUUUUCAUUUUCUUUUUUUAAUUUUUUUCAUGAUCAUUUUUACAAGCCAACAUAUAAUGAUAUCAAUUAAUUAUAUUUUAGAAUUCUAGAUUUAUAAAAACUCAAUUUUCAAUACAUUACUACUUAAGUCAAUAAAAUUAUUCAUAAAAAAUCUGCAUAUUCUCUUGUUUUAGGGUUUAAAACAUAUAUUUGAUUUUAGAAAAAGUUCAUAAAAUAAUUAUAAAUCAUUCUAUAAAUGUUGAUUUGGUGCGGUAAACCUUGAGAAGGCUAUAUGUUA
This 314-nucleotide long non-coding RNA is filed under the name Lathyrus oleraceus (garden pea). Its description in RNAcentral is "Pisum sativum (pea) long non-coding RNA (PSAT_LNC006654)". The record is from RNAcentral. Lineage: Eukaryota; Viridiplantae; Streptophyta; Magnoliopsida; Fabales; Fabaceae.